AGAGACAGCAGCAGCCGCGGGAAUACGAAGGGUGCAAGCGUUAAUCGGAAUUACUGGGCGUAAAGCGUGCGUAGGCGGUGAGUUAAGUCUGCUGUGAAAUCCCCGGGCUCAACCUGGGAAUGGCAGUGGAUACUGGCUCGCUAGAGUGUGUCAGAGGAUGGUGGAAUUCCCGGUGUAGCGGUGAAAUGCGUAGAGAUCGGGAGGAACAUCAGUGGCGAAGGCGGCCAUCUGGGACAACACUGACGCUGAGGCACGAAAGCGUGGGGAGCAAACAGGAUUAGAUACCCGAGUAGUCCCUGUCUCUUAUAC
RNAcentral lists this ribosomal RNA (309 nucleotides) under uncultured bacterium. RNAcentral describes it as "partial 16S ribosomal RNA". It matches the Rfam family "Bacterial small subunit ribosomal RNA", at positions 504 to 807 of the family's 1533-position model. The record is from RNAcentral.